Micropterus dolomieu (smallmouth bass) is the source of this 190-nucleotide long non-coding RNA. RefSeq lists it as uncharacterized. The record is from RefSeq and is a predicted model, not a curated record. NCBI's taxonomy places the organism in Eukaryota, Metazoa, Chordata, Actinopteri, Centrarchiformes, Centrarchidae. The transcript has 2 exons.
CCAAGAUUGCUGUCUGUGAUGUUAUCAAGAUGCACUGUCUGGAGCCGCUCCAUUGAAAUUAAAUGGGGCUGAGACAGAGAGCCAGGAAGCUGGUUUCCAGAGGUUACAAGGGACAUUUCAUUGUGUUGGAAACGAGUCAACAGCCAAUGUUCCAUGACAAGCAGCAUUAAAAGAGGGGGUGUGAAAAGUU